Molecule: unclassified non-coding RNA, 339 nt
Filed under: soil metagenome
Description: partial contains 5.8S ribosomal RNA, internal transcribed spacer 2, and large subunit ribosomal RNA
Rfam family: 5.8S ribosomal RNA (bases 1-120)
Source: RNAcentral
GAUGAAGAACGUAGCGAAAUGCGAUACGUAGUGUGAAUUGCAGAAUUCGGUGAAUCAUCGAAUCUUUGAACGCACAUUGCACCUCUCGGUAUUCCGGGAGGUAUGCCUGUUCGAGCGUCAUUUGUACCCUCAAGCUCUGCUUGGUGUUGGGUGUUUGUUCCGCCUCUGUGUGUGAACUCGCCUCAAAACAAUUGGCAGCCGGCGUACUUGUUUCGGAGCGCAGCACAUUUUGCGAUCCAGAUCAACGUACAGCGGCAUCCAAGAAGCCUUAUUUAACGCUCUUGACCUCGGAUCAGGUAGGGAUACCCGCUGAACUUAAGCAUAUCAAUAAGCGGAGGA